Gambusia affinis (western mosquitofish) is the source of this 861-nucleotide long non-coding RNA. RefSeq lists it as uncharacterized. The transcript has 3 exons. The record is from RefSeq and is a predicted model, not a curated record. Lineage: Eukaryota; Metazoa; Chordata; Actinopteri; Cyprinodontiformes; Poeciliidae.
UAAAUCCAAUUAGCCAUCGUACUCUGCAACUAAUUUGUGUAAUGUGACAAAAUCUGAGAAGUUCUAAGCUGCAGAUGGAAAUCAAACGUGUCUACUGCCACGUUUAGCUGAAGGAAACAUGUAAAUAAUUUGUUUAAGCUCCAUCAUGUUGGCAGCACAGUGGCAUCGGCAUCUGUCUCUGGGUUCACGGUGGUGAAGAGGAGCUGGAGGAGGGGAUGGAUUUACUCUUUUCUGCAGGAUCAGCCGAACGAAAUGUGCACAGCGGGAACGCUGCCAUGUACGUCCCUUGGUGCACGACAGUACAGCACAGCUGUGGAAGCCACCUAAAAUUUGAUUCCUCUCGCCGUAGCCUGGCAACGGCGGGUAUUAGCGCUCGCAAGCUGGAUGGGUGCAGUUCUGGUGCCAGAGGAUGGGCAGGAUGGGCGCCUGGUUGCAGCUCAUUGGCAGAUGACAUUGAGUGAAAGCUGGCAUUCUGAGAUUAGGGGAUCAGAUGCUCCCAGUGCUCCACGCAGGAAGUAGUAUAAAAUGUAAAAAUCAAUGCCAGGAGGGCUUGACGGGUCCUUGUGUCAUACAUUACACAGCACAUAAACCCACAUCGCAUUCAUUUUUUUUAUUAUUUGUUUAAUUUAUCGAAGGCUGUAAUUUCAUUUUUGGAAGAUUCCCAUAUUUGGGAUGAUAAGUAAAUAUUUGCUCAGCUGAACAAGCCAAAACGUCUCACUCUGUAGCUUGUAAAAGCACUUAAAGAUUUGAGCACUGGCAUCCUUUUAAAGGUCACAGAUUUCACUUUUUUGGUUAUUCUCUAAUAAAAUACUGUUCGAAACAUGCCAAAGAUUUGGAAUCUAGUACGACUGGUUUAAGUAG